UAUGAAGGCCUUCGGGUUGUAAACCGCUUUCAGUAGGGAAGAAGCGAAAGUGACGGUACCUACAAAAGAAGCACCGGCUAACUAUGUGCCAGCAGCCGCGGUAAUACAUAGGGUGCAAGCGUUGUCCGGAAUUAUUGGGCGUAAAGAGCUCGUAGGUCGUUUGUUACGUCGGAUGUGAAAACCUGAGGCUCAACCUCAGGCCUGCAUUCGAUACGGGCAAACUAGAGUUUGGUAGGGGAGACUGGAAUUCCUGGUGUAGCGGUGGAAUGCGCAGAUAUCAGGAGGAACACCAAUGGCGAAGGCAGGUCUCUGGGCCAAUACUGACACUGAGGAGCGAAAGUCUGGGGAGCGAACAGGAUUAGAUACCCUGGUAGUCCAGACCGUAAACGGUGGGCACUAGUUGUGGGAACCUUCCACGGUUUCUGCGACGCAGCUAACGCAUUAAGUGCCCCGCCUGGGGAGUACGAUCGCAAGAUUAAAACUCAAAGGAAUUGACGG
Molecule: ribosomal RNA, 498 nt
Filed under: uncultured Actinomycetes bacterium
Lineage: Bacteria; Bacillati; Actinomycetota; Actinomycetes
Description: bacterial SSU rRNA
Rfam family: Bacterial small subunit ribosomal RNA
Source: RNAcentral